This 229-nucleotide long non-coding RNA is filed under the name Ananas comosus (pineapple). RNAcentral's name for it is "long non-coding RNA (ACOM_LNC034315)". The record is from RNAcentral. Lineage: Eukaryota; Viridiplantae; Streptophyta; Magnoliopsida; Poales; Bromeliaceae.
UCAUGCAAGAAUCAAACUCUAAAUCCUCAAACUCAUGUAUAAAGCAUCUCUUUAGCAUGCUAGAGUUCUAUUUAAACCAAUUCUAGAGUAUAAAGUCCAAACCCUAGAAGUUUACCAUGAUUGAGCUUCAAGCUUACCUCCAAAAGCUAGCUCCAAGGUGUAGAGGAAGAAGAUGAAGAUGAAGAUCCUUCUCCUUGCUUGCUUCUCCACCAAAUCCCUUCUCUUCUUC